CAGGAUUUGCCUCUCCAGUUGGGCGUCAUUUUUACCAGACUGAUAUUGAACAAGCACGCUUGGAGAGCAAAGAUGGUCCCUUGUCUGUCCCUUGUGUGAACAGACAAAAUCCAACAUGGCCAGUGGUAGUGAAAUGUAAAAUGGCUGUUGAGAUGUCUUUGCCGAAUGCAUCUGGGCUAACUAUCCAAAAAGGCAUUGAUUGGAAAUUGAUGGAGACCAACCCUCUUCCUGCUGAGGUGGAUGAGAAGUUAACCGCAUCAAGCCAUGUUCCCGCUGAAGAGUCUA
Molecule: long non-coding RNA, 285 nt
Organism: Rhinichthys klamathensis goyatoka
Lineage: Eukaryota; Metazoa; Chordata; Actinopteri; Cypriniformes; Leuciscidae
Exons: 3
Source: RefSeq, a predicted model, not a curated record